Molecule: small RNA, 29 nt
Filed under: Bombyx mori (domestic silkworm)
Lineage: Eukaryota; Metazoa; Arthropoda; Insecta; Lepidoptera; Bombycidae
Description: ovarian small RNA-8942
Source: RNAcentral
UGUAUGAUAUUUAUGUUAGAGUCACACGC